This 28-nucleotide small RNA is filed under the name Bombyx mori (domestic silkworm). RNAcentral describes it as "piRNA piR-bmo-1438937". Lineage: Eukaryota; Metazoa; Arthropoda; Insecta; Lepidoptera; Bombycidae. The record is from RNAcentral.
UGAUGAUGUGAAGUGAUAUUGAUAGAGA